This 268-nucleotide ribosomal RNA is filed under the name uncultured Glomus. RNAcentral describes it as "partial small subunit ribosomal RNA". It matches the Rfam family "Eukaryotic small subunit ribosomal RNA", at positions 605 to 877 of the family's 1831-position model. The record is from RNAcentral. Lineage: Eukaryota; Fungi; Glomeromycota; Glomeromycetes; Glomerales; Glomeraceae.
UAAAGUUGUUGCAGUUAACAAGCUCGCAGUUGAAUUUCGGGAUUAACACGUCCGUCGUGCCACUGGUAUGAACUGGCGUCGUUGAUUUCUCCUCUCUGAGGAACCAUGAUGGCAUUAAUUUGAUGUCGUGGGAAAUCAGGACUGUUACUUUGAAAAAAUUAGAGUGUUUAAAGCAGGCUCGCGCUUGAAUACAUUAGCAUGGAAUAAUGAAAUAGGACGUUCGAACCUAUUUUGUUGGUUUCUAGGAUCAACGUAAUGAUUAAUAGGG